This 133-nucleotide ribosomal RNA is filed under the name uncultured Cortinarius. RNAcentral describes it as "partial 28S ribosomal RNA". It matches the Rfam family "Eukaryotic large subunit ribosomal RNA", at positions 1 to 132 of the family's 3401-position model. The record is from RNAcentral. Lineage: Eukaryota; Fungi; Basidiomycota; Agaricomycetes; Agaricales; Cortinariaceae.
GUGACCUCAAAUCAGGUAGGAUUACCCGCUGAACUUAAGCAUAUCAAUAAGCGGAGGAAAAGAAACUAACAAGGAUUCCCCUAGUAACUGCGAGUGAAGCGGGAAAAGCUCAAAUUUAAAAUCUGGCAGCCUU